GUAGUCUCGCACAGAUGCAUAUCAAUAAGCGGAGGAAAAGAAACUAACAAGGAUUCCCUCAGUAACGGCGAGUGAAGCGGGAAGAGCUCAAAUUUGAAAUCUUGAAAGGUCACCUUUCACUGAAUUGUAGUUUAAAGAAGUGUUUUCUGUUACGAUCGUAAUAUAAGUUCUUUGGAAUAGGACAUCACAGAGGGUGAGAAUCCCGUCUAUGAUUGCGAUUUGUAGCUUUGUGAUACACUUUCAAAGAGUCGGGUUGUUUGGGAAUGCAGCCCAAAACGGGAGGUAAAUUUCUUCUAAGGCUAAAUAUUGGCGAGAGACCGAUAGCGAACAAGUACCGUGAGGGAAAGAUGAAAAGAACUUUGAAAAGAGAGUUAAAUAGUACGUGAAAUUGUCAAAAGGGAAGCGUUUAACACCAGUGUUGUUUUCUGAAAAUCAACCUCUGUUAGCUUUAUGCAUGUUUGUUUAGACCUAAUCAGCUAUCUUGCAUGUUCUAUUGUUUGCAGUGGUGCACUUUUCAGUUUACAGGUCAACAUCAGUUUUUUUUACCGUAAAAAAGUUAAAGAAAGGUAGCUCAUGGCUCCGGUCGUGAGUGUUAUAGUCUUUUUCCUAUGCGGUAGGAGAGACUGAGGUCUGCAGUGUAGGCUAUUUGGCUAGAUACUCAGGUGCUAUGUGAUACCAUUUCAUAAACAACUUGUUGAUUAUGUUUUGUCUAUUGCAUACUCGCUUGUACUAUCAUACCUACGCUUAGGAUGUUGAGUCGUAGAGCACGCAG
Molecule: ribosomal RNA, 772 nt
Filed under: uncultured Neocallimastigales
Lineage: Eukaryota; Fungi; Neocallimastigomycota; Neocallimastigomycetes; Neocallimastigales
Description: partial large subunit ribosomal RNA
Rfam family: Eukaryotic large subunit ribosomal RNA
Source: RNAcentral